RNAcentral lists this ribosomal RNA (503 nucleotides) under uncultured bacterium. Its description in RNAcentral is "partial 16S ribosomal RNA". It matches the Rfam family "Bacterial small subunit ribosomal RNA", at positions 30 to 523 of the family's 1533-position model. The record is from RNAcentral.
AUUGAACGCUGGCGGCAGGCUUAACACAUGCAAGUCGAGCGGGGUGAUGGUGCUUGCACUAUCACUUAGCGGCGGACGGGUGAGUAAUGCUUAGGAAUCUGCCUAUUAGUGGGGGACAACAUCUCGAAAGGGAUGCUAAUACCGCAUACGUCCUACGGGAGAAAGCAGGGGAUCACUUGUGACCUUGCGCUAAUAGAUGAGCCUAAGUCGGAUUAGCUAGUUGGUGGGGUAAAGGCCUACCAAGGCGACGAUCUGUAGCGGGUCUGAGAGGAUGAUCCGCCAGACUGGGACUGAGACACGGCCCAGACUCCUACGGGAGGCAGCAGUGGGGAAUAUUGGACAAUGGGGGGAACCCUGAUCCAGCCAUGCCGCGUGUGUGAAGAAGGCCUUAUGGUUGUAAAGCACUUUAAGCGAGGAGGAGGCUCUUUUGGUUAAUACCCAAGAUGAGUGGACGUUACUCGCAGAAUAAGCACCGGCUAACUCUGUGCCAGCCGCCGCGGUAC